RNAcentral lists this ribosomal RNA (506 nucleotides) under uncultured bacterium. RNAcentral describes it as "partial 16S ribosomal RNA". It matches the Rfam family "Bacterial small subunit ribosomal RNA", at positions 29 to 523 of the family's 1533-position model. The record is from RNAcentral.
AUUGAACGCUGGCGGCAGGCCUAACACAUGCAAGUCGGACGGUAGCACAGAGGAGCUUGCUCCUCGGGUGACGAGUGGCGGACGGGUGAGUAAUGUCUGGGGAUCUGCCCGAUAGAGGGGGAUAACCACUGGAAACGGUGGCUAAUACCGCAUAACGUCGCAAGACCAAAGAGGGGGACCUUCGGGCCUCUCACUAUCGGAUGAACCCAGAUGGGAUUAGCUAGUAGGCGGGGUAACGGCCCACCUAGGCGACGAUCCCUAGCUGGUCUGAGAGGAGGAACAGCCACACUGGAACUGAGACACGGUCCAGACUCCUACGGGAGGCAGCAGUGGGGAAUAUUGCACAAUGGGCGCAAGCCUGAUGCAGCCAUGCCGCGUGUAUGAAGAAGGCCUUCGGGUUGUAAAGUACUUUCAGCGGGGAGGAAGGCGAUGUGGUUAAUAACCGCGUCGAUUGACGUUACCCGCAGAAGAAGCACCGGCUAACUCCGUGCCAGCCGCCGCAGUAA